ACGACUCUCGGCAACGGAUAUCUUGGCUCUCGUAUCGAUGAAGAACGUAGCGAAAUGCGAUACCUGGUGUGAAUUGCAGGAUCCCGCGAACCAUCGAGUCUUUGAACGCAAGUUGCGCCCGAGGCCACUCGGCCGAGGGCACGCCUGCCUGGGCGUCACGC
RNAcentral lists this ribosomal RNA (161 nucleotides) under Hordeum marinum subsp. marinum. Its description in RNAcentral is "5.8S ribosomal RNA". It matches the Rfam family "5.8S ribosomal RNA". Rfam says of the family: 5.8S ribosomal RNA (5.8S rRNA) is a component of the large subunit of the eukaryotic ribosome. It is transcribed by RNA polymerase I as part of the 45S precursor that also contains 18S and 28S rRNA. Functionally, it is thought that 5.8S rRNA may be involved in ribosome translocation. The record is from RNAcentral. Lineage: Eukaryota; Viridiplantae; Streptophyta; Magnoliopsida; Poales; Poaceae.